This 468-nucleotide ribosomal RNA is filed under the name uncultured bacterium. Its description in RNAcentral is "partial 16S ribosomal RNA". It matches the Rfam family "Bacterial small subunit ribosomal RNA", at positions 28 to 507 of the family's 1533-position model. The record is from RNAcentral.
GACGAACGCUGGCGGCGUGCUUAACACAUGCAAGUCGAACGGACAGGCCCGGCUUUUGUGGGUUGCUCGAGUGGCGAACGGGUGUGUAACACGUGAGUAACCUGCCCUUGACUUUGGGAGAACUUCAGGAAACUGGGGCUAAUACCGGAUAGGAUCUCCUGCUGCAUGGUGGGGGUUGGAAAGUUUCGGCGGUGGGGGAUGGACUCGCGGCUUAUCAGCUUGUUGGGGAGGUAGUGGCUUACCAAGCCUUUGACGGGUAGCCUGCCUGAGAGGGUGACCGGGCACAUGGGGACUACGAUACGGACCAGAAGCGUACGGGAGGCAGUAGUCGGGAACAUUGCACAAUGGGCGGACGUGAGAUGUAGAGACGCUGCGUGCGUGAAGCCGGGUUACGAGUUGAAAACCGCUUUCGAAUGUGACGAAGCGGGAGUGACGGUAAUGGGUAAAGAAGCACCGGCUAACUACGUG